AGAGUUUAAUUCUGGCUCAGAACGAACGCUGGCAGCGUGGAUUAGGCAUGUAAGUCGAACGUGAAGCCGUUGAACAAUCUUUCGGGAGAGUGAUUCGGUGGAAAGUGGCGGAAGGGUGAGUAACGCGUGGGUGAGCUGUCUCGAAGUUGGGGACAACCAGAUGAAAAUCUGGCUAAUACCGAAUGUGGUCUUCUGGCGCAUGUCAGGAUGACUAAAGGUGGGGAUUCUUCGGAACCUGCCGCUUUGAGAGGUGCCCGCGUGCCAUCAGCUUGUUGGUAGGGUAAUGGCCUACCAAGGCUUACGGCUAGCCGGCCUGAGAGGGUGAUCGGCCACACUGGGACUGAGACACUGCCCAGACUCCUACGGGAGGCUGCAGUCGAGGAUCAUUCGCAAUGCGCGAAAGCGUGACGAUGCGACGCUGCGCGGGGGAUGAAGGCCUUCGGGUCGUAAACUCCUGUCAUGAGGGAACAGUAUCCCUGUAAUUAAUAGUUGCGGGGCUCGAUGGUACCUCAAGAGGAAGCCACGGCUAACACUGUGCCAGCAGCCGCGGUAAUACAGAGGUGGCGAGCGUUGUUCGGAUUUACUGGGCGUAAAGGGUGCGUAGGUGGUUUUGUGUGUCGGAUGUGAAAUCCCAUGGCUCAACUGUGGAAUUGCAUUCGAAACUGCGGAACUAGAGUGCAGGAUGGGAGAGCGGAAUUCUUGGUGUAGCGGUGAAAUGCGUUGAUAUCAAGAAGAACACCGGUGGCGAAGGCGGCUCUCUGGAAUGCUACUGACACUGAGGCACGAAAGCUGGGGGAGCGAACAGGAUUAGAUACCCUGGUAGUCCCAGCCGUAAACGGUGCACACUUGGUGUGGGGAGAUUUAACCCUCUCCGUGCCGGAGUUAACGCGUUAAGUGUGCCGCCUGGGGAGUACGGCCGCAAGGCUAAAACUCAAAGAAAUUGACGGGGGCCCGCACAAGCGGAGGAGCAUGUGGCUUAAUUCGAUGCAACGCGAAGAACCUUACCAGGGCUUGACAUGGGGACCCUUCGGGGGUGGUAGCGAAAGUUACCUUUACCAUCACAGGUGCUGCAUGGCUGUCGUCAGUUCGUGCCGUGAGGUGUUGGGUUAAGUCCCGUAACGAACGCAACCCUUGUGGCUAGUUGCCACCGGUGGUGAUGAGCCGCCGAGCACUCUAGCCAGACUGCCCGUACAAGCGGGAGGAAGGUGGGGAUGACGUCAAGUCAGUAUGGCCCUUACGUCCUGGGCUGCACACGUGCUACAAUGGUCGGUACAGUGGGAUGCAAUACCGCGAGGUGGAGCAAAUCCCCAAAGCCGCCCUCAGUUCGGAUUGAAGUCUGCAACUCGACUUCAUGAAGUUGGAUUCGCUAGUAACGGCGCAUCAGCUACGGCGCCGUGAAUACGUUCCCGGGCCUUGUACACACCGCCCGUCACAUCAUGAAAGCCGUCUGCACCCGAAGUCGCUGAGCCAACCAUUUAUGGAGGCAGGUGCCGAAGGUGUGGGUGGUGAUUGGGA
Molecule: ribosomal RNA, 1515 nt
Filed under: metagenome
Description: bacterial SSU rRNA
Rfam family: Bacterial small subunit ribosomal RNA
Source: RNAcentral